RNAcentral lists this ribosomal RNA (961 nucleotides) under unidentified. RNAcentral describes it as "bacterial SSU rRNA". It matches the Rfam family "Bacterial small subunit ribosomal RNA", at positions 400 to 1354 of the family's 1533-position model. The record is from RNAcentral.
CGUGAGUGAAGAAGGGUUUCGGCUCGUAAAGCUCUGUUGUUAAAGAAGAACGUGGGUAAGAGUAACUGUUUACCCAGUGACGGUAUUUAACCAGAAAGCCACGGCUAACUACGUGCCAGCAGCCGCGGUAAUACGUAGGUGGCAAGCGUUAUCCGGAUUUAUUGGGCGUAAAGCGAGCGCAGGCGGUCUUUUAAGUCUAAUGUGAAAGCCUUCGGCUCAACCGAAGAAGUGCAUUGGAAACUGGGAGACUUGAGUGCAGAAGAGGACAGUGGAACUCCAUGUGUAGCGGUGAAAUGCGUAGAUAUAUGGAAGAACACCAGUGGCGAAGGCGGCUGUCUGGUCUGCAACUGACGCUGAGGCUCGAAAGCAUGGGUAGCGAACAGGAUUAGAUACCCUGGUAGUCCAUGCCGUAAACGAUGAUUACUAAGUGUUGGAGGGUUUCCGCCCUUCAGUGCUGCAGCUAACGCAUUAAGUAAUCCGCCUGGGGAGUACGACCGCAAGGUUGAAACUCAAAAGAAUUGACGGGGGCCCGCACAAGCGGUGGAGCAUGUGGUUUAAUUCGAAGCUACGCGAAGAACCUUACCAGGUCUUGACAUCUUCUGACAGUCUAAGAGAUUAGAGGUUCCCUUCGGGGACAGAAUGACAGGUGGUGCAUGGUUGUCGUCAGCUCGUGUCGUGAGAUGUUGGGUUAAGUCCCGCAACGAGCGCAACCCUUAUUACUAGUUGCCAGCAUUAAGUUGGGCACUCUAGUGAGACUGCCGGUGACAAACCGGAGGAAGGUGGGGACGACGUCAAAUCAUCAUGCCCCUUAUGACCUGGGCUACACACGUGCUACAAUGGAUGGUACAACGAGUCGCGAGACCGCGAGGUUAAGCUAAUCUCUUAAAACCAUUCUCAGUUCGGACUGUAGGCUGCAACUCGCCUACACGAAGUCGGAAUCGCUAGUAAUCGCGGAUCAGCA